Molecule: ribosomal RNA, 492 nt
Filed under: uncultured bacterium
Lineage: Bacteria
Description: partial 16S ribosomal RNA
Rfam family: Bacterial small subunit ribosomal RNA
Source: RNAcentral
AUUGAACGCUGGCGGCAUGCUUUACACAUGCAAGUCGAACGGUAACAGGCCUUCGGGUGCUGACGAGUGGCGAACGGGUGAGUAAUGCAUCGGAACGUGCCCAGAGGUGGGGGAUAACGCAGCGAAAGCUGUGCUAAUACCGCAUGUGAUCUGAGGAUGAAAGCGGGGGACCAGGCAGCAAUGUUUGGCCUCGCGCCUUUGGAGCGGCCGAUGUCAGAUUAGGUAGUUGGUGGGGUAAAGGCCUACCAAGCCGACGAUCUGUAGCUGGUCUGAAAGGACGACCAGCCACACUGGGACUGAGACACGGCCCAGACUCCUACGGGAGGCAGCAGUGGGGAAUUUUGGACAAAGGGCGCAAGCCUGAUCCAGCAAUGCCGCGUGCGGGAAGAAGGCCUUCGGGUUGUAAACCGCUUUUGUACGGAACGAAAAGGCUCUGGCUAAUACCUGGGGCUGAUGACGGUACCGUAAGAAUAAGCACCGGCUAACUACGUG